CUGAAUGAUGCUCCUGCCCCGUGAUCUAUGACACCACCAUUGUAUGCGUCUAAGGUGCACCUCUUACAAUUGGCAUCACUCCUACAAGCCACUCGAAGUAUACGCACCCCUCACAGCCUCACAUGCCAUACAAGUGGACGUGGCAGUUGAUAAGAUCGGUUCGUACCCCAGACUAUCCAAUCUAGUAUAUAGACUACAUUUUCCAUGUAAAAUCUAGUUGAUUGUGGUGACACUACUAAGAAAAUUCUUCUCAAAAAAAUAAAAAACAACUUCAAAGAAUGCAUUACCAAGUAAUACGGCAAUGUACAAUUUAUAGAAAAUUUUAU
This 326-nucleotide long non-coding RNA is filed under the name Phoenix dactylifera (date palm). Its description in RNAcentral is "long non-coding RNA (PDAC_LNC007322)". The record is from RNAcentral. Lineage: Eukaryota; Viridiplantae; Streptophyta; Magnoliopsida; Arecales; Arecaceae.